Molecule: long non-coding RNA, 2946 nt
Organism: Clupea harengus (Atlantic herring)
Lineage: Eukaryota; Metazoa; Chordata; Actinopteri; Clupeiformes; Clupeidae
Source: Ensembl
GCACUAUAUAGGAGCGGCCCCCGUCAAGUUAUUGAAAGUAACUAAGUAACUUUUACUUAAAGUACAUUUUAAAUGAACUACUUUUUACUUUUACUUGAGUAGAUUUUUAGAUGAGUAAUUUUACUUGUACUUAAGUACAAUUUCAUCAAAGUAAUUGUACUUUUACUUGAGUACAACAUUUCAGUACUUUUUACACCUCUGCUUGGUAGUAGGGUUCAGUUCAGUUCAUACUGUGGAACUAGCCCCAGCACAUAAACCAGGAGCCUGAGAGAAGGCAGGUGUCAUUAAAGGUAUAUAUUCCCCGAUUCUAAUCCAAUACAUUUUCUUUGCUAAAUUCAGCAAAAUUGCUCCUCACGGUCCUCUAGCUGUUCGUUCAGUGUGUGCCCUCAAAACAGCUCUGGUGCUCGUAUACAUUCUUGGCUCUGUGCCAUACACAAUUCUAGCCAAUCAACAUGUUGCUUCAGGAGCACAGGAGAGAGGGAUGACAUUUGAUUGGCUGUUGAGCACAAAUAUCAACUACCUUUCAUCACAAUUGCAAACUGUGCCUUUAACAUAGGUGCCUCAAUUUGUGAAAACCCCAGUUGUAUACAUUAAGAUGCCCAGAGGUAUACAUUAUAAUAUCAUUACAACUAUAAAUAUAAUUAUUAUACCAUAUAUAUGGUUAUGAUAAAAGUAUCAUCACAGCUUUAAGUGUCAAUGAUGCACCACCCCACGUCACCCGCCUUCACAACCUGAGUGAUGUGAGAAACUGCAUGAGACGUGGGGACACCGAGCUGAGCUUCACUCUUAUCCAGCUGAAGGACUGAUGAUGUGAUGGUGAACUCUCAUGUGCUAAAGGUGGAGCUCAGAGGAACAGAUGAUGGUGAACUCUCAUGUGCUAAAGGUGGAGCUCAGAGGGAUGGAUGAUGGGAUGGUGAACUCUCAUGUGCUAAAGGUGGAGCUCAGAGGGAUGGAUGAUGUUAAGGUGAACUCUCAACAAGAUUGACUUUACAAUUCUCUCAUACGGUCUGAGCGAAAUUAUCUCACAAGUCUUGUGUACACAUAUUAAAUCAGAAGAUUGCAUUGCAUUCCAUUGUAUUGUUUCAUAUUGUAAUGCAGCGUAAUGUUUUUGUUGUUUAAGUUGUGGUAAGUUAAGGAUGAGCACACAAGAUAUAUAAAAAAGCGGUAUUAAGUAUACAAAGAAGAUGGAACAAGUGAUAGCCCAACUACGGAUCUCAGAUGAAACAUAAAGGACAGCCCAUCUCAUUUCACUUAGUAGGUAAGCAAUGUUGGACAUAUUUAUUUAUUCACGUUUCACCCAAAACAAUCUGAACGUGCACAUAACACCAUCACAGUCCCCGUUUUAUUCUCUCAGGGCUCUGUCGUGCUUUGCGCUUGUGCCCAGAGUCCCUAGACACUACUGUUACUGUUGGAACGGGAGCAAGAGCAGCUCCUAAAGAGGUCGGUCAGCUUCUCACGGACAUGGUGGCCUGUGGCAGACCUUUCAGUUGGGAUUAAUUUAGGGCAUCCAUGGGGUGGUGCUGGUGCUGUUCUGGUGAAUCGUUCCAGAAACUUAAACCUUUUCUGGGUGGAGGCAGCAGAUUGACCUUUCUCCAUCCUGCGAAAGAAAAUCAGCUCAUUGUCGUCAUUAACCCUCUGGUGGAGGCCUGGGCCCCGUGGCUCUUGUCCUUUGGUGUUGGCCCUUUCUGUGGUUUGCGCUCCAUCAAUCAGAGAUUCAUCUGCAGCCUCAGCCUCUCUGAAAGACGUGACUGAGCUAAAAAAAAAGUGCAGAAGAGCAACAAGUGUCAGAAAAUGGUGCACAUCCUGCUGUAGUGAUAGGAGUCAGGUUUCAAACAGGCAGACAGGUUAGGCUUGGGCUGACCAGUGGUUAAAGGUAAGGAAGGAAGACAUUUUGAAUAUUACAUUUGAGAAGAAUGACGUUAAUUAAAAAUAUGAAAUAAACUUAGGAAAUGGAAUCAACUUAAUAUAUCAAUAGACAUAAGUAAGAGACUCCCCUUGCUAUGGCCGCAUACUUAUUUCUAAACAUAAUGAUGAUAAAUAUACAUUCACACUUGCUGCAGCUGUCUUGUAAAAGUAAGUAAGUCCUGAUACCUUCUGGGCGACGGGUAGGGAGUGGGUGUCCGUGUGCUGGCCGCCGUCUUUAUACUGUCACGCCUUGAGUCAUGAUCAAAGAAGAACUGCACGCUUCUGGACAUGCGCCUUUCAGUGGAGUCAAAGGAGGAGGUGGAGAUGGCUGAGGGGCCAGUGAAAGGGAAGUUGAUCUCUUGGCUGCUUUCCCUCACAUCCAGGUCCUCAAUUACAGAGUCUUCAAGUUUGUCAUUUGAGUGAUCCUGUGGAAUAUUAAUGUAUCUGUUUGUGUAUAACAAUCACACAACGUUUGUUUUCUGCAAAUAAGACCACUUAACAGCAAGGUUAGUAGAGCCAGCCUGUCUCAUUAUUUUCACCUUUCAGACGUUUUACUCAUGUUCGGCCCAAAGAUAUUCAACAAAGGCAUGUAAUUUUCCCCCUAAUAUCAGUAAUAGCUCACAAAAACUUCUAUAUCACUAUAGAAUGUGUGAAAGUUGGAGACUAUUCAACUGUUUCUGUUUACCUCAAACUCCCCUUGACUGAUCUCGGUAGAACCAGGAUGAGAAGGUACUGGCACCUGAUCUGGUCCUUCAUGUAUCUCUAAAUCACAGUAACGGGAGUGUUAUAAGAUACUUUUCAUCCACAGGUAUCUCUAAAUCACAGUAACAGGAGUGUUAUAAGAUACUUUUCAUCCACAGGUAUCUCUAAAUCACAGUAACGGGAGUGUUAUAAGAUACUUUUCAUCCACAGGUAUCUCUAAAUCACAGUAACGGGAGUGUUAUAAGAUACUUUUCAUCCACAGGUAUCUCUAAAUCACAGUAACGGGAGUGUUAUAAGAUACUUUUCAUCCACAGGUAUCUCUAAAUCACAGUAACGGGA